GGUCUUAGUGCUGAGAGAACUCUCCAAAAUACUUUCUGCAACCAAUCUUUCUAUCUUGGAGUCUGUUUCCAAGAGAACUGGUCCACAAGAGCUGGUUCAUCAUCUAUGAAGAAACUGAGACAGGAAAGGUCAAAGAAAAUUGCUCAAGCCUCCAAGUCACUUACUAAAUAGUAAGUGAUAAACUUAAAAUCCAGGACCAAGCAUUUGGACCUCCCGCACAGCCAGAAAGCUGCAUUCUCAAUGCUUCUUCCCAAUUUCUCAUUUGCGCUGGUCCCUGAGAUAAGAGGAGGAUGUUCAAGAGAAAGCCUUGCAAAAGGUCCCAGGAGCAGUGGGCUGUGAACUCCUCUCUUGGCAGCGAGUUAAAGGGCAGAGAAACAUCCAGAAUGGUGGAAGCCCUGAGGGCUAUCUGCAAGCUACCACACCGUCUCCUCUGCUAGACAGUCUGGUGUAAUGCUCCACAUUGAUGACUGCUUCAUCGGCCUGCAUCCUGGGUGAGAAGAUACAGGACAGAGUUCCCAGCUGACCUGCGAGGGCCACAUAUGAGCAAGAAAUAACCUGUUAUUUUAAACCAAUGAGAUUUUGGAAGGGGUUCUCCAGCAUAUUCUAGCAUUUCUGGAUUAAUACAAAUAGUAUUAUGGACAAUUUUUUAAUUCGAUUGUCUUCCUAAUAAUAGAAUUGGUAUCACUUCCAAUUGUUCAAGUAUAUAAAAUAGUGGCAAUAGACAAUCUUACAUUUAUAUCUUAUGUUUUUUGUACCUAAGGCAGAUUUUAUAUGGAGGAUGUAUAUAGAGUCACUCAGAUAUUAUCAUCCUCUUCAAAAGCUUUAACUCUUUAUACUAUUAGAAUUAGUCAUGAGGGGGCACCUGGGUGGCUCAGUGGUUCAGCAUCUGCCUUUGGCUCAGGGCGGGAUCGCUGAGGUCCUAGAUUGAGUCCCGCAACAGGAUUCCCAAAGGGAGCCUGCUUCUCUCCCUCUACCUUUGUCUCUGCCUCUCUGUGUGUCUCUCAUGAAUAAAUAAACAAAAUCUUAAAAAAAAAAAAAAGAAUUAGUCAUGAGGAUACACAUAGACUUAUCCUAAAGCCAAUAUUGGUUGAUCAAACGUGACCUAUCAACAAUUUAAUAUUUGCAGGAUCUGAUGAUUUAGAAAUAUGGACCAAUGUCUUUCAAUUUGUAGUUUCUGAUUAUUGAUUUUUUCCUAUGUUUUUAUGUGUGUGAGCUCUAUCUAUUCUGAAUUGCCUAUCCAUAUCUUCUGUCCAUAUGUCUAUUAUUUUGUUUUGUCAUCUAGAUUUUAGGAACUUUUAUAUAUUAGACAUCCUUAUGCUGAAUGUGUAAUGUAUGUUCCAAAUAUUUUCUCCUAGUCUAUAUAUUG
Long non-coding RNA from Canis lupus familiaris (dog), 1366 nucleotides. RefSeq lists it as uncharacterized. Lineage: Eukaryota; Metazoa; Chordata; Mammalia; Carnivora; Canidae. The transcript has 5 exons. The record is from RefSeq and is a predicted model, not a curated record.